Molecule: ribosomal RNA, 490 nt
Filed under: uncultured bacterium
Lineage: Bacteria
Description: partial 16S ribosomal RNA
Rfam family: Bacterial small subunit ribosomal RNA
Source: RNAcentral
AGUGAACGCUGGCGGCAGGCCUAACACAUGCAAGUCGAACGGCAGCACAAGAGAGCUUGCUCUCUGGGUGGCGAGUGGCGGACGGGUGAGGAAUGCAUCGGAAUCUGCCCAUUUGUGGGGGAUAACCUCGGGAAACCGGGACUAAUACUGCAUACGACCUACGGGUGAAAGCAGGGGAUCUUCGGACCUUGCGCAGAUGGAUGAGCCGAUGCCGGAUUAGCUAGUUGGAGGGGUAAAGGCCCACCAAGGCGACGAUCCGUAGCUGGUCUGAGAGGAUGAUCAGCCACACUGGGACUGAGACACGGCCCAGACUCCUACGGGAGGCAGCAGUGGGGAAUAUUGGACAAUGGGCGCAAGCCUGAACCAGCCAUGCCGCGUGUGUGAAGAAGGCCUUCGGGUUGUAAAGCACUUUUGUUGGGAAAGAAAAGCAGCCGGUUAAUACCCGGUUGUCAUGACGGUACCCAAAGAAUAAGCACCGGCUAACUUCGUG